This 72-nucleotide transfer RNA is filed under the name Diplodactylus vittatus. RNAcentral's name for it is "tRNA-Leu". The record is from RNAcentral. Lineage: Eukaryota; Metazoa; Chordata; Lepidosauria; Squamata; Diplodactylidae.
ACUUUCAUAGGAAAAAAGCACUCCGCUAAUUUUAGGCAUUAGACACUCUUGGCGCAACCCCAAGUGAAAGUA